Molecule: ribosomal RNA, 2139 nt
Filed under: human gut metagenome
Description: bacterial LSU rRNA
Rfam family: Bacterial large subunit ribosomal RNA
Source: RNAcentral
UGUUGCUUGCAAGGGCGUAUGGUGGAUGCCUUGGCAGACAGGACCGAUGAAGGACGUUUGAGGCUGCGAUAUGCCUCGGGGAGCCGCCUACAGGGCUUUGAUCCGAGGAUUUCCGAAUGGGGGAACCCACCGGCCGUCAUGGGUCGGUACCGGCUUCGGCCGGGGGGUACGCAGGGAAGUGAAACAUCUCAGUACCUGCAGGAAAGGAUAUUCCGUGAGUAGUGGCGAGCGAAAGCGGAUGAUGGCCAAACCUUGCGCGUGUGAUACCCGUCGGGGGUUGCGUGUGGGGUGUUGCGGGAUCGCGUGCGCCGGCUCCGACGGGCCGGCCGGCAGUUGUAGAAAACCAUGUGUCAGGGGAACCGGGUUGAAUACCGGGCCGCAGAGGGUGAGGGCCCCGUACCUGAACGCGCAUGGUCUGCCGAUCGCGUCUCCCAAGUAGCACGGGUCCCGUGGAACCCCGUGCGAAUCCGCCCGGACCGUCGGGUAAGCCUGAAUAUUCCUGUCUGACCGAUAGCGAACGAGUACCGUGAGGGAAAGGUGAAAAGUACCCCGGGAGGGGAGUGAAACAGUCUCUGAAACCGUGCGCCUACAAUCCGUCGGAGCCCUUUUUGUGGGGUGACGGCGUGCCUAUCGAAAAAUGAGUCUGCGAGUCAGUGGCAUGUGGCGAGCAUAACCCGUGUGGGGUAUGCGUAGCGAAGGCGAGUCUUAAAAGGCGUUUGAGUCGCGUGUCCUGGACCCGAAGCGGGAUGAUCUAGCCCUGAGCAGGUUGAAGCGCGGGUAAGACCGUGUGGAGGACCGAACCCACCUGGGUUGAAAACCGGGGGGAUGACUUGGGGUUAGGGGUGAAAGGCCAAUCAAAUUCCGUGAUAGCUGGUUCUCUCCGAAAUGCAUUUGGGUGCAGCGUCGGGUCAUUGCGUCCCGGGGGUAGAGCUACUGGAUGCUUGCGGGCCCGUAUCGGGUACCAACAGCAACCAAACUCCGAAUACCGGUGACGUGUAUCCCGGCAGUGAGUCGGCGGGGGAUAAGCUUCGUCGUCGAAAGGGAAACAGCCCAGACCGUCGUCUAAGGUCCCGAAGCGUGUGCUAAGUGGGAAAGGAUGUGGAGUCGCAUAGACAGCCAGGAGGUUGGCUCAGAAGCAGCCAUCCUUUAAAGAGUGCGUAACAGCUCACUGGUCUAGUGGUUCCGCGCCGACAAUGUAGCGGGGCUCAAGCACACCACCGAAGACGCGGCAGUAUUUUGUACUGGGUAGGAGAGCGUCCCAUGAGGGGCGAAGCGGCCGUGUGAACGCGCCGUGGACUUCAUGGGAGUGAGAAUGCAGACAUGAGUAGCGAAAGACGGGUGAAGAUCCCGUCCGCUGGAUGACCAAGGGUUCCAGGGCCACGUUCAUCGUCCCUGGGUGAGUCGGGUCCUAAGGCGAGGCCGACAGGCGUAGUCGAAUGGAUGAACGGGUCGAUAUUCCCGUACCGGCUUUCAGCCGCCAGAACCGAGGCUUGGAGUACUAACCUCCGGGUCCGGGCUUACUUCCCCUUCGGGGGUGGGAUGCCUGGGCCUGUUGGGACCGAUCCUUGUAGUAGGUCAGCGCAGGAGUGACGCAGAAGGGUAGCCGGCCGCGGAGGUGGUCUUCCGUGGUCAAGCACGCAGCCCGUCCCGUAGGCAAAUCCGCGGGGCGUGUGGGCGAGGUGCGAUGGUGGGGGCCGUUUGGCCCGAUAUCCGGUGAUCCCGGCUGCCGAGAAAAGCUUCGGCGUGAGGCUCGAAGCCGCCCGUACCCCAAACCGACACUGGUGGUCAGGUAGAGAAUACCAAAGCGAUCGAGCGAAUCCUGGUCAAGGAACUCGGCAAAUCACUCCCGUUCCUUCGGUUUAAGGGAGACCCCCGAUGGUGAUCCGCCUCGCGCGGGGAGCUUUUGGGGGUGGCACAGACCAGGGGGUAGCGACUGUUUACCAAAAACACAGGUGCAUGCGAAGGCGCAAGCCGCUGUAUAUGCACUGACGCCUGCCCGGUGCCGGAAGGUUAAGAGGAUCCGUCAGCCUUCGGGUGAAGCGGUGAAUUCAAGCCCCGGUAAACGGCGGUGGUAACUAUAACCAUCCUAAGGUAGCGAAAUUCCUUGUCGGGUAAGUUCCGACCUGCACGAAUGGCGUA